Molecule: ribosomal RNA, 329 nt
Filed under: uncultured eukaryote
Lineage: Eukaryota
Description: partial 18S ribosomal RNA
Rfam family: Eukaryotic small subunit ribosomal RNA
Source: RNAcentral
CCCUUAGAUGUUCUGGGCCGUACGCGCGCUACACUGAUGCAUUCAACGAGUCUAAAACCUGCUCUGAUAGGGGUGGGUAAUCUUUUGAAUGUGCAUCGUGAUUGGGAUAGAUGAUUGCAAUUUUUCAUCUUCAACGAGGAAUGCCUAGUAAACGCAAGUCAUCAGCUUGCAUUGAUUACGUCCCUGCCCUUUGUACACACCGCCCGUCGCUCCUACCGAUUGAAUGAUCCGAUGAAUAUCAUGGAUUGAGGAUUAUAGCAGGUUCGCCUGUCUUGAUCUUCGAGAAGUGAAGUAAAUCUUAUCAUUUAGAGGAAGGAGAAGUCGUAACA